RNAcentral lists this ribosomal RNA (474 nucleotides) under uncultured bacterium. RNAcentral describes it as "bacterial SSU rRNA". It matches the Rfam family "Bacterial small subunit ribosomal RNA", at positions 335 to 802 of the family's 1533-position model. The record is from RNAcentral.
ACUCCUACGGGAGGCAGCAGUAGGGAAUCUUCCACAAUGGACGAAAGUCUGAUGGAGCAACGCCGCGUGAGUGAAGAAGGGUUUCGGCUCGUAAAACUCUGUUGUUAAAGAAGAACAUAUCUGAGAGUAACUGUUCAGGUAUUGACGGUAUUUAACCAGAAAGCCACGGCUAACUACGUGCCAGCAGCCGCGGUAAUACGUAGGUGGCAAGCGUUGUCCGGAUUUAUUGGGCGUAAAAGCGAGCGCAGGCGGUUUUUAAGUCUGAUGUGAAAGCCUUCGGCUCAACCGAAGAAGUGCAUCGGAAACUGGGAAACUUGAGUGCAGAAGAGGACAGUGGAACUCCAUGUGUAGCGGUGAAAUGCGUAGAUAUAUGGAAGAACACCAGUGGCGAAGGCGGCUGUCUGGUCUGUAACUGACGCUGAGGCUCGAAAGUAUGGGUAGCAAACAGGAUUAGAUACCCCUGGUAGGAUAGCG